Micropterus salmoides (largemouth bass) is the source of this 724-nucleotide long non-coding RNA. RefSeq lists it as uncharacterized. Lineage: Eukaryota; Metazoa; Chordata; Actinopteri; Centrarchiformes; Centrarchidae. The transcript is spliced from 6 exons. The record is from RefSeq and is a predicted model, not a curated record.
AGACUCUUUCUCUGCCUAUUAUCUGAGUGACUCUGGGUUUUGGUGUCUGCCUCCGAGCGUGUGUGUGUGUGUGUGUGUGUUGGAGGGAGAAAAGAGAUAAAGAGAGAGAGAGAGAGGGAGAGGCAAGCAGCGUUUCUUCUCCCCCCUUUAGCCUCCCCGUCUCCCUGCUCCCUGUCACUCCAUCCUUCCUCCCCUCUCCUGGACCACCCUCCAGCCCUACUUCGAGCCAGACCGAGACCCCCUACCACCCAGACCACCCCGGGACCCUAUGACUCUCCUCACUUCUCCGUCCCACCAACCAUAACCUCUGAGCAGGACUUCCUCUGUUCUCCUCUCCUCCCCUGGAGUGCUGUCUGUCAACAACUCAACUGCACAAUAUCCGCUGAAUCCACUUCCACAAUUUACUUGAUUGUAACAGGCUUCUGCUGGUCAGGCGCAGCUAAGUGUAUCGGCUACACGCCCAAUCUCUCGAUUCUGCUGGAAGGCUGCCAGCCACAGGUCACAUGACCUGGAAGAAAAAACCUGGGAGACUUUUGGGAUCCCUAUUCGCAUGGGCUGGCUAUCAACCUGAAGGGAAGUCCAAAGGCUGAUGAACUGGUCUGUGUCUGUGUGAGACCGCAUUGCUCUGGUGUCCUAUAUGCCCUGGGAACACAACACCCAGAGCAAAUCUGCCUCUGUAACAACCUGACGCAGUAGACUAUGUUGUGUGGACAAUUUGUGAGUA